GCACAAGCGGUGGAGCAUGUGGUUAAUUCGAAGCAACGCGAAGAACCUUACCAGGUCUUGACAUCCCUGACAACCCGAGAGAUCGGGCGUUCCCCUUCGGGGGACAGGGUGACAGGUGGUGCAUGGUUGUCGUCAGCUCGUGUCGUGAGAUGUUGGGUUAAGUCCCGCAACGAGCGCAACCCUCGACCUUAGUUGCCAGCAUUCAGUUGGGCACUCUAAGGUGACUGCCGGCUAAAAGUCGGAGGAAGGUGGGGGAUGACGUCAAAUCAUCAUGCCCCUUAUGACCUGGGCUACACACGUGCUACAAUGGGCGGUACAAAGGGUCGCGAACCCGCGAGGGGGAGCCAAUCCCAAAAAGCCGCUCUCAGUUCGGAUUGCAGGCUGCAACUCGCCUGCAUGAAGCCGGAAUCGCUAGUAAUCGCGGAUCAGCAUGCCGCGGUCGAAUACGUUCCCGGGCCUU
This 460-nucleotide ribosomal RNA is filed under the name uncultured Anoxybacillus sp. RNAcentral's name for it is "bacterial SSU rRNA". It matches the Rfam family "Bacterial small subunit ribosomal RNA", at positions 923 to 1382 of the family's 1533-position model. Lineage: Bacteria; Bacillati; Bacillota; Bacilli; Caryophanales; Anoxybacillaceae. The record is from RNAcentral.